CCCUUCCCCACAUUAUGAGAUCUACAAUCCCCUUCCUGUUAGGUACCCUCUCAUCACCAUAACAACCCACAUUCCAUAAAAAAACAGGGGAGCCAUUAAAGAGAGGCAGAAGGACAGAACUUUUGAUGCUGCUUUUUAGGUGUCCCAUUCAGAUACAUCACAAUCAUCUAGAAGACUGCCUGACAUACAUGAGCACUCAAUACAUAUCUGUUGAACACUGCUGAGUACAGGAACUGUAAGAGUUCAAAAAUCUUCUCAGAAGAAAAAAAUUAUUAAACUGUGAGAAAUUCAUUAAAAGGAUAUACAUAGUGUGCCAUGAGAACCCACAGGAGAGACAUCUGGAAACAUUCAAGGAAAGCUACUUCAUGAAGGUCAUGACUGAAUGAAAUGAGAAGGUAGCAGCAGAGAACAAAAUCCAACAAGGAAACAGCGUAGCACACGUUAACAGCUUUAAUUGGAGAACAGUUCCGCUGUUUUUUUUUUUUUUUUUUUUGCAAAGCAGUGAGAGGAAAAGAUCCUUUGACCGAGUCACGUGAUGCUUCUCACGUGACUUGCAGUGACCCGCGGAAAGGGAAAGGGGAAAAAAGCAAACAUUCCCGCUGUCAGCGUUUGGGAUAUAGUAAAUGAUUAAAUGGUUUCUACUGCUAAUGCCUUGAAUUUUGCGAUCAUUCAGACUUCCCCGUGAACUAACCCAAAAGCUCAUCAAAAUACAUGUACAGAAAUAUGUAUCUGCUGUAAAACCAUCCUUUUUGUUUUCACUUCCCUCCUAUAUGAUAGGCAUUAUCUUCUAAUUCAGUUUUUAUUAUUCAGUCUGCUACUUUCAUUUAUAAAAUUUGUUAUUUGUAACAUUUAUUAAUUGAGGAUUCGCUCUGAAAUGUCCUUCUGUAACUUGAUCCACUCUCCAUGCUUAACCAUUAAAGAAUGCCCACAGCACAAUUGUCUAUAGAAUAUUGGCUUGAUCAAUGUGUUCCUCAAACCUGGGUUUUAUGUCUCAGGCUGGCCUUUGCCU
Lutra lutra (Eurasian river otter) is the source of this 1009-nucleotide long non-coding RNA. RefSeq lists it as uncharacterized. The record is from RefSeq and is a predicted model, not a curated record. The transcript has 3 exons. NCBI's taxonomy places the organism in Eukaryota, Metazoa, Chordata, Mammalia, Carnivora, Mustelidae.